AGUAGGGGAAGCGCAGCGAAAGCGAGUCUUAAUAGGGCGGUUUUAGUUGCUGGGUGUAGACCCGAAACCAGAUGAUCUAACUCAUGGCCAGGAUGAAGCGAGGGUAACACCUCGUGGAGGUCCGAACCCACUAAUGUUAGAAAAUUAGGGAUGAGCUGUGGUAGGGGUGAAAAGGCUAAACAAAAUCUGGAAAUAGCUAGGUUCUCUCCGAAAACUAUUUAGGUAGUGCCUCACGUAUCACCUUUGGGGGUAGAGCACUGUUAUGGCUAGGGGGUCAUUGAGACUUACCAAACCAUUGCAAACUCCGAAUACCAAAGAGUGCGAGCGUGGGAUACAGACAUCGGGUGCUAACGUCCGGUGUCAAAAGGGAAACAACCCAGACCCUCAGCUAAGGUCCCCAAGACACAGUUAAGUGGGAAACGAAGUGGGU
Molecule: ribosomal RNA, 430 nt
Filed under: uncultured bacterium
Lineage: Bacteria
Description: bacterial LSU rRNA
Rfam family: Bacterial large subunit ribosomal RNA
Source: RNAcentral